This 108-nucleotide small nuclear RNA is filed under the name Rhinolophus ferrumequinum (greater horseshoe bat). The record is from RNAcentral. Lineage: Eukaryota; Metazoa; Chordata; Mammalia; Chiroptera; Rhinolophidae.
GUGCUUACUUCGACAGCGCAUAUACUAAAAUUGGAACAAUGCAGAGAAGAUUAACAUGGCCCCUGCGCAAGGAUGACACGCAAAAUUCGUGAAACGUUCCAUAUUAAA